UGUCUGUUCGCGGGUUAUUGGUGUGCAGGCCAUAAACUGUUCCCUAAUUUCGUCAGGCAGUUGCAAAGGUUGGAACUGUGAAAUUUUUAUAUAUAAUUUAUUAAUUUCUAAUAAGGCCUGCCGAGGACUGGAGGUAGCCAGUAAUUAUGGUUAAUUGCAAUAGUACAUUAUUUAUUUUAUUGGGUAUUCUAAUUUGGUUUGAAGAAGAAAUCUUAUGUUUGGAAAAUCGAGCAAGCAGAUCAGAUUUUGAGCAUGGUAAUAAAUCUCUUAGUCGAAUUGCAUUUGGUAGUUGUAUGAAG
Molecule: non-coding RNA, 299 nt
Organism: Paramuricea clavata
Lineage: Eukaryota; Metazoa; Cnidaria; Anthozoa; Malacalcyonacea; Plexauridae
Source: the annotation of a GenBank genome assembly